UGGGGAAUAUUGCACAAUGGGCGCAAGCCUGAUGCAGCCAUGCCGCGUGUGUGAAGAAGGCCUUCGGGUUGUAAAGCACUUUCAGCGGGGAGGAAGGCGUUAAGGUUAAUAACCUUGGCGAUUGACGUUACCCGCAGAAGAAGCACCGGCUAACUCCGUGCCAGCAGCCGCGGUAAUACGGAGGGUGCAAGCGUUAAUCGGAAUUACUGGGCGUAAAGCGCACGCAGGCGGUCUGUCUAGUCGGAUGUGAAAUCCCCGGGCUCAACCUGGGAACUGCAUUCGAAACUGGCAGGCGAGAGUCUUGUAGAGGGGGGUAGAAUUCCAGGUGUAGCGGUGAAAUGCGUAGAGAUCUGGAGGAAUACCGGUGGCGAAGGCGGCCCCCUGGACAAAGACUGACGCUCAGGUGCGAAAGCGUGGGGAGCAAACAGG
RNAcentral lists this ribosomal RNA (429 nucleotides) under Chloroflexota bacterium. RNAcentral describes it as "Chloroflexi bacterium partial 16S ribosomal RNA". It matches the Rfam family "Bacterial small subunit ribosomal RNA", at positions 355 to 776 of the family's 1533-position model. Lineage: Bacteria; Bacillati; Chloroflexota. The record is from RNAcentral.